RNAcentral lists this ribosomal RNA (629 nucleotides) under uncultured soil bacterium. RNAcentral's name for it is "bacterial SSU rRNA". It matches the Rfam family "Bacterial small subunit ribosomal RNA", at positions 55 to 700 of the family's 1533-position model. The record is from RNAcentral.
AUGCAAGUCGAACGAGAAAGGGUAGCAAUACCUGAGUAAAGUGGCGACCGGGUGAGUAACACGUGACUAAUCUACCCUUGAGUGGGGAAUAACCUUCCGAAAGGAGGGCUAAUACCGCAUAAAGUCCAGAGGCUGAAAUGCCAUUGGACCAAAGGAGUAAUUCGCUUAAGGAGGAGGUCGCGGUUGAUUAGCUAGUUGGUGGGGUAAUGGCCCACCAAGGCGAUGAUCAAUAGCCGGCCUGAGAGGGCGCACGGCCACACUGGAACUGAAACACGGUCCAGACUCCUACGGGAGGCAGCAGUGGGGAAUUUUGCGCAAUGGGGGAAACCCUGACGCAGCAACGCCGCGUGAAGGAUGAAGGUCUUUGGAUUGUAAACUUCUUUCGUCCGGGAAGAUAAUGACGGUACCGGAAUAAGAAGCCCCGGCUAACUUCGUGCCAGCAGCCGCGGUAAUACGAAGGGGGCGAGCGUUGUUCGGAAUUAUUGGGCGUAAAGGGAGCGUAGGCGGUUCGAUAAGUCACUUGUGAAAUCUCUGGGCUCAACUCAGAGUCUGCAAGCGAAACUGUCGGGCUUGAGUAUGGGAGAGGUGAGUGGAAUUCCUGGUGUAGCGGUGAAAUGCGUAGAUAUCAG